UACGUAGGUGUCAAGCGUUGUCCGGAUUUAUUGGGCGUAAAGCGCCCGCAGGCGGCUUGCCAAGUUCGAUGUGAAAUCUCCCGGCUCAACUGGGAGGGUGCAUCGAAAACUGGCAGGCUUGAGGCAGGGAGAGGGAUGUGGAAUUCCAGGUGUAGUGGUGAAAUGCGUAGAUAUCUGGAGGAACACCAGUGGCGAAAGCGACUUCCUGGACCAAUACUGACGCUCAUGUGCGAAAGCGUGGGGAGCAAACAGG
RNAcentral lists this ribosomal RNA (253 nucleotides) under uncultured bacterium. Its description in RNAcentral is "partial 16S ribosomal RNA". It matches the Rfam family "Bacterial small subunit ribosomal RNA", at positions 524 to 776 of the family's 1533-position model. The record is from RNAcentral.